Non-coding RNA from Cinara cedri, 333 nucleotides. The record is from the annotation of a GenBank genome assembly. Lineage: Eukaryota; Metazoa; Arthropoda; Insecta; Hemiptera; Aphididae.
GUCCAGUGGAAAUCCGCAAUUUCUACUUCGAUACUUUAAAGCAGUCGCGCGAGACGAACGCACGCGCGGGUACAGCGGCUACAACGCGGCCGAACGAACUGGCAAAACCGUAAACAAGGGGGACAAAAGCUACAGCAGCAGAACUAUUAUCUAUUAGGUACGAUCGGACUAAUUGGGUGUAUCUAAAAGUGAUUUGACGGACGACCGGUUAAAGUCGUCUCAAUUGGUUUGAUGGCCGGCCGGCCGAACUUAUGGAACAUCCGGACCAAUAUUUGUGGACCGCAUGUAAUUGCGCGCGUUUUAAUUGCACUGAACUCUUAACUGAACGCUACA